Non-coding RNA from Aegilops tauschii subsp. strangulata, 1355 nucleotides. Lineage: Eukaryota; Viridiplantae; Streptophyta; Magnoliopsida; Poales; Poaceae. The record is from RefSeq and is a predicted model, not a curated record.
UUUUGGGAGACGCGCCGCUCAUCUAUCCUGCCGUUUCCCCUUCCCCACCUCACACUCUCCCGGCGAGGAGCCAAAUCACACACGAAAUCCCUAGCUUCGCCGCGAGCGCGGGCGGCGAGAGGGCCGGUGACGAGUUCAAUUCAACGAGCGCGGCGAUGGCCCGGCGAAGGACCCCGUAGCAGUUCGCCGGGGCGAGGGCGGCGCGCGCGUGCCGUACAAGGAAGAGAAGGUAGCGGUGAAGGGGGGAGAGGGUGGAGCUGGUGGUUCGGCGCGAGGCGGCGACGACCACCCCGAGAGCGAGAUCCUGCUUUGCUUCGACGACCUAGGCAAGGCAACAACAGAAUUUUCUUUUUUCAUCAGCAGCCGUACGACAGAUUUAAAAAAAUGGAGGAUUCCACGGAUGAACAGAAUGGCGAGGGAGCUGCAAGAGUAAUACAAGGCCAUAGGCGUCCUAGGAAGAAGCAAGUUCAGGAAGGUAGAAACAGAGCAUCGCCAGCAAGGCUAGUAAAGUUAAACAAGAGCUUGGACCAACGGCAGAAGGAUCUGAUAGAAACUUACCAUCUGGGAGGCAUACUGAAGAUCGAAGCAACAACAAUGCCCGCAGACCUCAGCAGGUGGGUAAUGCAUAUCUACGACCCAGAUAGCGAGUGCAUCGUAGAAAACAUUAUACAUGCCAAUCGAAGAAAACUCAUGUUGAAAUAUGUAGUAUAUAUCCCUUGUGUAAACUCGCAAGGCUUGCUUCUCGAUUGGGAACAGGGACCAAAGCCUUGGCUCAAGCUCAUCUGUUCGAAUUUUGCAGGUUCACGUACCUUUUUAGGACAGCAUCGAAGCCUUCGCUCGAUUACAAAACAUAAUGGAUACUAGGGAUCAAGCCCUAACAAAACUAACUUGAUUACAAGAUGAAUCUCAUUCAACCCAUCAUCGUCUAGCAAGCCUACGAAGAGAUUACUCAUUCCCGGCGGUGAGCAUCAUGAAAUUGAUGAUGAAGGAUGGUUGAUGAUGACAAAGACGGAAGUUCCUCUUCUUCGGAGCCCCGAACGGAGUCCAGAUGUGGCCUCCCGAUGAAGAACAGGAGGUGCCGGCGGCUUCGUAUCGUAAAACGCGAUGAAACUUUCUCUUCGAUAUUUUUCUCUGAAAAUAGGAAUUAUAUGAUCGAGAUUAGCGUCAGCGGAGCCUCGUAGGCCCCACUACCCAGGAGGGCGGGCCAGAGGGGGUGGCUCGCCCUGGUGCCUAGUGGGCAGCUGCCCCCUUCAGUAUUUUUCAUUUACUCCAAAAUAAUUCUUCAGAAAGUUCCAUCCAAUUUCGAGAACUUUUAUUUCUGUAUAAAAACAACACCAUGGUAGUUCUGCUGAAAA